AGAAUGACUCUCGGCAACGGAUAUCUAGGCUCUUGCAUCGAUGAAGAACGUAGCGAAAUGCGAUACUUGGUGUGAAUUGCAGAAUCCCGUGAACCAUCGAGUCUUUGAACGCAAGUUGCGCCCGAUGCCAUUAGGUUGAGGGCACGUCCGCCUGGGUGUCACAU
This 164-nucleotide ribosomal RNA is filed under the name Trigonella foenum-graecum. RNAcentral's name for it is "5.8S ribosomal RNA". It matches the Rfam family "5.8S ribosomal RNA". Rfam says of the family: 5.8S ribosomal RNA (5.8S rRNA) is a component of the large subunit of the eukaryotic ribosome. It is transcribed by RNA polymerase I as part of the 45S precursor that also contains 18S and 28S rRNA. The record is from RNAcentral. Lineage: Eukaryota; Viridiplantae; Streptophyta; Magnoliopsida; Fabales; Fabaceae.